This 506-nucleotide ribosomal RNA is filed under the name uncultured bacterium. RNAcentral's name for it is "partial 16S ribosomal RNA". It matches the Rfam family "Bacterial small subunit ribosomal RNA", at positions 29 to 523 of the family's 1533-position model. The record is from RNAcentral.
AGUGAACGCUGGCGGUAAGCCUAACACAUGCAAGUCGAACGGCAGCACAGGAGAGCUUGCUCUCUGGGUGGCGAGUGGCGGACGGGUGAGGAAUACAUCGGAAUCUACUUUUUCGUGGGGGAUAACGUAGGGAAACUUACGCUAAUACCGCAUACGACCUACGGGUGAAAGCAGGGGAUCUUCGGACCUUGCGCGAUUGAAUGAGCCGAUGUCGGAUUAGCUAGUUGGCGGGGUAAAGGCCCACCAAGGCGACGAUCCGUAGCUGGUCUGAGAGGAUGAUCAGCCACACUGGAACUGAGACACGGUCCAGACUCCUACGGGAGGCAGCAGUGGGGAAUAUUGGACAAUGGGCGCAAGCCUGGUCCAGCCAUACCGCGUGGGUGAAGAAGGCCUUCGGGUUGUAAAGCCCUUUUGUUGGGAAAGAAAUCCAGCUGGUUAAUACCCGGUUGGGAUGACGGUACCCAAAGAAUAAGCACCGGCUAACUUCGUGCCAGCAGCCGCCGUAA